AGGAAGAAUUCCUCCGUUCAAAAUGGAGAGUCAAGGUCCAUUCUUGAUCUGUGAUGAAGACCAUGUGAUGUGAUCGAAAGCUGUUUUCGGAGGUCAAGAAUGAAACUCCUCUCUUUUCAAACUCUGCUGUGU
Molecule: long non-coding RNA, 132 nt
Organism: Sander lucioperca (pikeperch)
Lineage: Eukaryota; Metazoa; Chordata; Actinopteri; Perciformes; Percidae
Exons: 3
Source: RefSeq, a predicted model, not a curated record